GCUUGUCUCAAAGAUUAAGCCAUGCAUGUCUAAGUAUAAACGAUUUUAUACGUGAAACUGCGAAUGGCUCAUUAUAUCAGUUAUAGUUUAUUUGAUGGUCCUUACUAUUUGGAUAACCGUAGUAAUUCUAGAGCUAAUACAUGCAUCAAGCCCUGACUUCGGAAGGGGUGUAUUUAUUAGAUGGAAACCAAUGCGGGGUAACCCGGUGUUUGGUGAUUCAUAAUAACUUUCGGAUCGCAUUUGCGAUGCAUCAUUCAAGUUUCUGCCCUAUCAGCUUUGGAUGGUAGGGUAUUGGCCUACCAUGGCAUUAACGGGUAACGGAGGAUUUGGGUUCGAUUCCGGAGAGGGAGCCUGAGAAAUGGCUACCACAUCCAAGGAAGGCAGCAGG
This 388-nucleotide ribosomal RNA is filed under the name Epipyxis aurea. RNAcentral describes it as "Epipyxis aureus partial small subunit ribosomal RNA". It matches the Rfam family "Eukaryotic small subunit ribosomal RNA", at positions 30 to 432 of the family's 1831-position model. Lineage: Eukaryota; Chrysophyceae; Chromulinales; Dinobryaceae. The record is from RNAcentral.